This 450-nucleotide ribosomal RNA is filed under the name uncultured bacterium. RNAcentral describes it as "partial 16S ribosomal RNA". It matches the Rfam family "Bacterial small subunit ribosomal RNA", at positions 354 to 796 of the family's 1533-position model. The record is from RNAcentral.
GUAGGGAAUCUUCCACAAUGGGCGCAAGCCUGAUGGAGCAACACCGCGUGAGUGAAGAAGGGUUUCGGCUCGUAAAGCUCUGUUGUUAAAGAAGAACACGUAUGAGAGCAACUGUUCAUACGUUGACGGUAUUUAACCAGAAAGUCACGGCUAACUACGUGCCAGCAGCCGCGGUAAUACGUAGGUGGCAAGCGUUAUCCGGAUUUAUUGGGCGUAAAGAGAGUGCAGGCGGUUUUCUAAGUCUGAUGUGAAAGCCUUCGGCUUAACCGGAGAAGUGCAUCGGAAACUGGAUAACUUGAGUGCAGAAGAGGGUAGUGGAACUCCAUGUGUAGCGGUGGAAUGCGUAGAUAUAUGGAAGAACACCAGUGGCGAAGGCGGCUACCUGGUCUGCAACUGACGCUGAGACUCGAAAGCAUGGGUAGCGAACAGGAUUAGAUACCCGUGUAGUCC